GUCUUCCUACGGGCGCAGCAGUGGGGAAUAUUGCACAAUGGGCGAAAGCCUGAUGCAGCAACGCCGCGUGAAGGAAGAAGGGUUUCGGCUCGUAAACUUCUAUCAACAGGGACGAAAGAAAUGACGGUACCUGAAUAAGAAGCCCCGGCUAACUACGUGCCAGCAGCCGCGGUAAUUCGUAGGGGGCAAGCGUUAUCCGGAAUUACUGGGUGUAAAGGGUGAGUAGGCGG
RNAcentral lists this ribosomal RNA (230 nucleotides) under uncultured bacterium. Its description in RNAcentral is "partial 16S ribosomal RNA". It matches the Rfam family "Bacterial small subunit ribosomal RNA", at positions 333 to 578 of the family's 1533-position model. The record is from RNAcentral.